AGUCAUUCCAUUUUUUUCAAUUAAGUUUAUAAAAGAGGGUUACUUUAACUUAUAACUCACCUACAAGUCCUAAUGAGCUCUUGGCGUUCAUCGUUGUUGGUAGUCGUUUUCCGUUUACGUUUUACAAAAAUUUACAUAAAACCAAGGGCUAAAUAAAAUCAAACAUGUCCACAAUCAUUAUUGAGUAUCUAGUUUUAAAAACGCGUCCGAUGACCCUUCCUCCGAAACAACAUUUCCGACAUGAUUUAGUGUAAAAAUAGAACAUGGAGGUAAAAUGCAAGACAUGAUCUACAAAUUAGCAUUAACACAUCAGUCGUCUCCUUAUUGAAGUUCUUGCCCUCUGAUAACGAUAUUUACUUUUUUUGUUUUUUUGUCUUAUAUCUUAAAAACCAUAAUAAAUAGAUAGAAACUCGAUUCAGCAAAAACGAUCAUCAAGACAACAUCUACAAGUAAGGCAACAUAACUGAAAUUUUCAAUUAAAUGGUGUGUAGCUCUUUAAAGACAUAAUAGAUACAGAGAAAUUUAGUAUAGCAUAAAUGAUCAGCAAGACCUGAUUUAUAAACAUUCCUUAAUUUGUCCUGAAUGGUAUUUUAAUCCACAGUGUUAGAGAGAGUCUAUAGAGAGAGUCUAUUGAUGAAGAUGUGCAUAGACCUAAGUGAGCGACACAGGCUCAUUUUCAACCGUGCAAGGACUGUAUAGCCAGUCCAGGUCCUUAAGAACUACCAUCAUCCGACUCUUUGGAGCUUAUUUUAGUCAUUUAUUCUGCUAACUUCGUUCAACUUCC
RNAcentral lists this long non-coding RNA (784 nucleotides) under Mytilus galloprovincialis (Mediterranean mussel). The record is from RNAcentral. Lineage: Eukaryota; Metazoa; Mollusca; Bivalvia; Mytilida; Mytilidae.